This 253-nucleotide ribosomal RNA is filed under the name uncultured bacterium. Its description in RNAcentral is "partial 16S ribosomal RNA". It matches the Rfam family "Bacterial small subunit ribosomal RNA", at positions 524 to 776 of the family's 1533-position model. The record is from RNAcentral.
UACAGAGGAUGCAAGCGUUAUCCGGAAUGAUUGGGCGUAAAGCGUCUGUAGGUGGCUUUUUAAGUCCGCCGUCAAAUCCCAGGGCUCAACUCUGGACAGGCGGUGGAAACUACCAAGCUGGAGUACGGUAGGGGCAGAGGGAAUUUCCGGUGGAGCGGUGAAAUGCGUAGAUAUCAUUUGGAACGCCAAUGGUGUAAACAGCUCGCUGGGAAUGAUCUGACACUGAGACGCGAAAGCCAGGGGAGCGAACGGG